This 350-nucleotide long non-coding RNA is filed under the name Gallus gallus (chicken). Its description in RNAcentral is "long non-coding RNA NONGGAT005072". The record is from RNAcentral. Lineage: Eukaryota; Metazoa; Chordata; Aves; Galliformes; Phasianidae.
GAGGGAUGGGAUUAUCCUGCCGUGCCACCAGGAGCCUGGGGACCACGUGCUGUGGGUGCUGGCACAAAACUCCUCCAUCCAUCACUGCAGGAGCAGCACUUUUUGCUGCAGCGACAGGAACUCGGAGCAACCCUGCAAAGAGUGGUCCAGCAGCACAAGAAGAAGAUGACAUCCAUCGAGUGUGAGUGCUUCAGCAGGGUCUGCAGCCUGCGAGGAGUUGCCAGCUGCUGGUGGACCUGAACAAUAAGAGAUUGACCAAAACCUCGAGCGAUGGCAACAAUCAAGGGGGUCUCAAGUUUCAACCCUGAGCAAGAAGCGCAGGCACUCAGGAAGGCCAUGAAGGGCUUUGG